Molecule: ribosomal RNA, 497 nt
Filed under: uncultured bacterium
Lineage: Bacteria
Description: partial 16S ribosomal RNA
Rfam family: Bacterial small subunit ribosomal RNA
Source: RNAcentral
GAUGAACGCUGGCGGCGUGCCUAAUACAUGCAAGUCGAGCGAACAGACGAGGAGCUUGCUCCUCUGACGUUAGCGGCGGACGGGUGAGUAACACGUGUAUAACCUACCUAUCAGACUGGUAUAACUUCGGGAAACCGGAUCUUAUCCCGGAUAAUCUCUUGAACCGCAUGGUUCAAUGGUGAAAGACGGUUUUGCUGUCUCUUAUAGAUGGAUCCGCGCCGCAUUAGCUAGUUGGUAAGGUAACGGCUUACCAAGGCAAGGAUGCGUAGCCGACCUGAGGGGGUGAUCGGCCACACGGGAACUGAGACACGGUCCAGGCGCCUGAGGGAGGCAGCAGUAGGGAAUCGUCCGCAAUGGGCGAAAGCCUGACGGAGCAACGCCGCGUGAGUGAUGAAGGUCUUCGGAGCGUAAAACUCUGUUAUUAGGUAAGAACAAAUGUGUAAGGAACUAUGCACGGCUUGACGGUACCUAAUCAGAAAGCCACGGCUAACUACGUG